GACGAACGCUGGCGGCGUGCUUAACACAUGCAAGUCGAACGGAAAGGCCCUGCUUUUGUGGGGUGCUCGAGUGGCGAACGGGUGAGUAACACGUGAGUAACCUGCCCUGGACUUUGGGAUAACUUCAGGAAACUGGGGCUAAUACCGGAUCGGAGCUCCCGCCGCACGGUGGGGGUUGGAAAGUUUCGGCGGUUGGGGAUGGACUCGCGGCUUAUCAGCUUGUUGGCGGGGUAGUGGCUUACCAAGGCUUUGACGGGUAGCCGGCCAGAGAGGGUGCCCGGCCACAUUGGGACUGAGAUACGGCCCAGACUCCUACGGGAGGCGGCAGUGGGGAAUAUUGCACAAUGGGCGGACGCCUGAUGCAGCAACCCCGCGUGCGGGGUGACGGCCUUCGGGUUGUAAACCGCUUUCGCCUGUGACGCAGCGUCUGUGACGGUAAUGGGUAAAGAAGCACCGGCUAACUACGUG
RNAcentral lists this ribosomal RNA (468 nucleotides) under uncultured bacterium. RNAcentral describes it as "partial 16S ribosomal RNA". It matches the Rfam family "Bacterial small subunit ribosomal RNA", at positions 28 to 507 of the family's 1533-position model. The record is from RNAcentral.